RNAcentral lists this ribosomal RNA (496 nucleotides) under uncultured bacterium. Its description in RNAcentral is "partial 16S ribosomal RNA". It matches the Rfam family "Bacterial small subunit ribosomal RNA", at positions 28 to 506 of the family's 1533-position model. The record is from RNAcentral.
GAUGAACGCUGGCGGCGUGCCUAAUACAUGCAAGUCGAGCGAACGGACGAGAAGCUUGCUUCUCUGAUGUUAGCGGCGGACGGGUGAGUAACACGUGGAUAACCUACCUAUAAGACUGGGAUAACUUCGGGAAACCGGAGCUAAUACCGGAUAAUAUUUUGAACCGCAUGGUUCAAAAGUGAAAGACGGUCUUGCUGUCACUUAUAGAUGGAUCCGCGCUGCAUUAGCUAGUUGGUAAGGUAACGGCUUACCAAGGCAACGAUGCAUAGCCGACCUGAGAGGGUGAUCGGCCACACUGGAACUGAGACACGGUCCAGACUCCUACGGAAGGCAGCAGGAGGGAAUCUGCCGCAAUGGGCGAAAGCCUGACGGAGCAACGCCGCGGGAGUGAUGAAGGUCUUCGGAUCGUAAAACUCUGUUAUGAGGGAAGAACAUAUGUGUAAGUAACUGUGCACAUCUUGACGGUACCUAAUCAGAAAGCCACGGCUAACUACGU